Molecule: ribosomal RNA, 492 nt
Filed under: uncultured bacterium
Lineage: Bacteria
Description: bacterial SSU rRNA
Rfam family: Bacterial small subunit ribosomal RNA
Source: RNAcentral
UGGGGAAUAUUGCACAAUGGGCGCAAGCCUGAUGCAGCAAUGCCGCGUGAGUGAAGACGGCCUUAGGGUUGUAAACCGCUUUCAGCAGGGAAGAAACUGACGGUACCUGCAGAAGAAGAUGCGGCCAACUACGUGCCAGCAGCCGCGGUGACACGUAGGCAUCAAGCGUUAUCCGGAUUUAUUGGGCGUAAAGAGCUCGUAGGCGGUUCGGUAAGUCGGGUGUGAAAACUCUGGGCUCAACCCAGAGAGGCCACUCGAUACUGCUGUGACUAGAGUGCGGUAGGGGAGCGGGGAAUUCCUGGUGUAGCGGUGAAAUGCGCAGAUAUCAGGAGGAACACCAGUGGCGAAGGCGCUGCUCUGGGCUGUAACUGACGCUGAGGAGCGAAAGCAUGGGUAGCAAACAGGAUUAGAUACCCUGGUAGUCCAUGCCGUAAACGUUGGGCACUAGGUGUGGGUCUCAACCAACGAGAUCCGCGCCGUCGCUAACGCAUU